Long non-coding RNA from Schistocerca nitens (vagrant locust), 600 nucleotides. RefSeq lists it as uncharacterized. NCBI's taxonomy places the organism in Eukaryota, Metazoa, Arthropoda, Insecta, Orthoptera, Acrididae. The record is from RefSeq and is a predicted model, not a curated record. The transcript has 3 exons.
UAUUAGGAAAGACAUUGGCGAUUAUCCAGUCUGGCUAUUCGUUGACGAAACCACCUAUUCUUGCAGUCGUUAUAUGGUGCACGUCAUAGUUGGAAAACUCUCUGCUGACGAGACUGGACGAGGACACCUCAUACUGUGCGAAGAAGUGAAAUGAACGACACACGCCACGAUUGCACGCACAGUCUAAGUUUCGCCAAUAUUGAAUAGUUUAAAAUAAAUUACAGGCGUGCUGAGGAGAAGUGAAGAUCAGAAACGUGGGGAGAACAAGGUUUUAGCAAUUUUGACGGAUAGUGCCGCAUAUAUGAUGAAGGUUGUAGAGUGUCUCCGGGUGUCAUUCUUCACCUCACGUGUCGCUGAAGAGGUCAGAGCCGCAUUGACAGAGGUCAGCUGCCUUAUAUCUUCGGCAAUGAAGGUUUUCAUUAAGCCACCAAGUAAAGUGAGAGCUUUCAAGACUGCUCGCCCUGACGGUCCUCUGCCACCUGAACCAGUCUUGACGAGGUCCUAAAGGGUUUUGAAGAUAGCGAAAAUUGAGCCAUACCAAAAUCCAAGGGCGCCUUGAAGAAUUCCAGCAUGUUACACAGCCUAUCUUUCACCCGAGCG